This 76-nucleotide transfer RNA is filed under the name Apostichopus japonicus (Japanese sea cucumber). Its description in RNAcentral is "tRNA-Ser". The record is from RNAcentral. Lineage: Eukaryota; Metazoa; Echinodermata; Holothuroidea; Aspidochirotida; Stichopodidae.
UAGAUCCGAAUCCUAUGUGAAUAUUCUUGGCCUGCUAAGCCAAGAAUUUGUGGUUUAACUCCAUGAAGGACUCGAU